AGAGUUUGAUCAUGGCUCAGAAUCAACGCUGGCGGCGUGCCUAACACAUGCAAGUCGAACGCGAAAGGGGAGCAAUCCCUGAGUAGAGUGGCAAACGGGUGAGUAACACGUGGGUGACCUGCCUUCGAGUGGGGGAUAACGUCCCGAAAGGGACGCUAAUACCGCAUGACAUCCUGCCUUUGGACAGGCGGAGAUCAAAGCUGGGGAUCGCAAGACCUGGCGCUUGAAGAGGGGCCCGCGUCUGAUUAGCUAGUUGGUGAGGUAACGGCUCACCAAGGCGACGAUCAGUAUCCGGCCUGAGAGGGCGGACGGACACACUGGGACUGAGACACGGCCCAGACUCCUACGGGAGGCAGCAGUGGGGAAUUGUUCGCAAUGGGCGCAAGCCUGACGACGCAACGCCGCGUGGAGGAUGAAGAUCUUCGGGUCGUAAACUCCUGUCGAGCGGGAAGAACGUUUCGCGGAUGAAUAAUCCGCGGAAGUGACGGUACCGCUAAAGGAAGCCCCGGCUAACUCCGUGCCAGCAGCCGCGGUAAUACGGGGGGGGCAAGCGUUGUUCGGAAUUACUGGGCGUAAAGGGCUCGUAGGUGGCCAACUAAGUCAGACGUGAAAUCCCCAGGCUCAACUUGGGAACUGCGUCUGAUACUGGAUGGCUUGAAUUCGGGAGAGGGAUGCAGAAUUCCAGGUGUAGCGGUGAAAUGCGUAGAUAUCUGGAGGAAUACCGGUGGCGAAGGCGGCAUCCUGGACCGAUAUUGACACUGAUGAGCGAAAGCUAGGGGA
This 780-nucleotide ribosomal RNA is filed under the name uncultured bacterium. Its description in RNAcentral is "bacterial SSU rRNA". It matches the Rfam family "Bacterial small subunit ribosomal RNA", at positions 8 to 767 of the family's 1533-position model. The record is from RNAcentral.